RNAcentral lists this ribosomal RNA (1433 nucleotides) under uncultured organism. RNAcentral describes it as "SSU rRNA". It matches the Rfam family "Bacterial small subunit ribosomal RNA". The record is from RNAcentral.
CUAGCUACAGGCUUAACACAUGCAAGUCGAGGGGCAGCAUGGUCUUAGCUUGCUAAGGCCGAUGGCGACCGGCGCACGGGUGAGUAACACGUAUCCAACCUGCCGUCUACUCUUGGACAGCCUUCUGAAAGGAAGAUUAAUACAAGAUGGCAUCAUGAGUCCGCAUGUUCACAUGAUUAAAGGUAUUCCGGUAGACGAUGGGGAUGCGUUCCAUUAGAUAGUAGGCGGGGUAACGGCCCACCUAGUCUUCGAUGGAUAGGGGUUCUGAGAGGAAGGUCCCCCACAUUGGAACUGAGACACGGUCCAAACUCCUACGGGAGGCAGCAGUGAGGAAUAUUGGUCAAUGGGCGAGAGCCUGAACCAGCCAAGUAGCGUGAAGGAUGACUGCCCUAUGGGUUGUAAACUUCUUUUAUAAAGGAAUAAAGUCGGGUAUGGAUACCCGUUUGCAUGUACUUUAUGAAUAAGGAUCGGCUAACUCCGUGCCAGCAGCCGCGGUAAUACGGAGGAUCCGAGCGUUAUCCGGAUUUAUUGGGUUUAAAGGGAGCGUAGAUGGAUGUUUAAGUCAGUUGUGAAAGUUUGCGGCUCAACCGUAAAAUUGCAGUUGAUACUGGAUAUCUUGAGUGCAGUUGAGGCAGGCGGAAUUCGUGGUGUAGCGGUGAAAUGCUUAGAUAUCACGAAGAACUCCGAUUGCGAAGGCAGCCUGCUAAGCUGCAACUGACAUUGAGGCUCGAAAGUGUGGGUAUCAAACAGGAUUAGAUACCCUGGUAGUCCACACGGUAAACGAUGAAUACUUGCUGUUUGCGAUAUACUGCAAGCGGCCAAACCGAAAGCGUUUAGUAUUCCACCUGGGGAGUACGCCGGCAAACGGUGAAACUCCAAAGGAAUUUGACGGGGGCCCCCACCACCCGGAGGAACAUGUGGUUUAAUUCGAUGAUUCGCGAGGAACCUUACCCGGGCUUAAAUUGCAGAUGAAUUACGGUGAAAGCCAUAAGCCGCAAGGCAUAUGUGAAGGUGAUGCAUGGUUGUUGUCAGCUCGUGCCGUGAGGUGUCGGAUUAAGUGCCAUAACGAGCGCAACCCUUGUUGUCAGUUUCUAACAGGUUCCGCUGAGGACUAGAACAAGACUGCCAUCGUAAGAUGUGAGGAAGGUGGGGAUGACGUCAAAUCAGCACGGCCCUUACGUCCGGGGCUACACACGUGUUACAAUGGGGGGUACAGAGGGCCGCUACCACGCGAGUGGAUGCCAAUUCCCAAAACCUCUCUCAGUUCGGACUGGAGUCUGCAACCCGACUCCACGAAGCUGGAUUCGUUAGUAAUCGCGCAUCAGCCACGGCGCGGUGAAUACGUUCCCGGGCCUUGUACACACCGCCCGUCAAGCCAUGGGAGCCGGGGGUACAAGAAGUGCGUAACCGCGAGGAGCGCCCUAGGGUAAAAC